RNAcentral lists this unclassified non-coding RNA (1479 nucleotides) under Leguminivora glycinivorella. RNAcentral's name for it is "bTB/POZ domain-containing protein 6-B, transcript variant X2". Lineage: Eukaryota; Metazoa; Arthropoda; Insecta; Lepidoptera; Tortricidae. The record is from RNAcentral.
GGAGGAGGACGACGAAGGAAGGCGCGGUAGUUGAUACAAACAAAACAAGCGAGUGGAACUCAUUGUGAGAUACGUUUUUUUUUAUUAACUCUACAGUCUUGUCGUGAUAUUGAUUUUACCGAUAGUUGAUAUUCCAAGGUUUCUUUGAUUUGUUCUGUGAACAUUGUCUUCAUUAACAGUAACGAGUGAAUUCAGGUUACUCAGUGGUAUAUCAUCUUAGAAAUAUUAAAAUCUGUCAUUGUGUAUCAAGUUCAAGGUUACCUAGUCCGAGUUCAUCUACAGCGCAUAAAGGUGUGUUUACGACCACAAGUACCACAACUAACUAACAAAAUGGUUCACUGGAAAACGAAAAAGAAAAGAUCAAUAGGACUUUAAUGAACGUUAAUAUUGAAAGGAACAAUGGUUUCCAUUAUGAGGGUUUACAUGAGCCGAUCAUUUAAAAUCUUACUCUAAACAACCAGUAACUUGUUUAUGAAGAAUCUCGGAGAAGUUCUGAAAGACGAAAAUCGAGGGAGAGAUGGACUCUGCGUUAGAUUGGAUGUACCACUGGGCGGCGUCUUGGUCAGAACCAGAACUGUCAGAAUAGACGUUCUUACCUUAAGGGUAAGUAACUACCUACCUAAUUUGAGUGAAGAAAGAUACCAUAAGUAACGUAUUACUAUUUGAUAUCCCGUGGCUAUUUGCCGUAGAAUAAUACGCUAACCAAAGUAAUCGAUUUUGUAUGUCAAACCGCAUAGUUAUUGAGGCUUGUGUUAAAGCAACUGUCACGUUAUGUUUAUCGGUUAUCGACUCUUCGCAUACUUAGGGAACAUGUCAGCUAUCGAAUAAAUUGGCUAUUGUGAGCAUCAACACCAAACAUACAAUACAGCGUCGCACUAGUAUCAGUCCUACCAUUAUGGUUUGUUUGAACCGAUGGAAUUGGUCGAAUCUUCGCCUAAGGCAUUUUUUCGACAAUGGGCAAAAAUAAUAAAUUCUGAUGAAACGUACAAUUUUUGAAAGUUUUUAGAGACCCUUAGAAAUGUAUCCUGAACUUCGAAAAAUAUUAGAAUGGUUUUGUAGUGUUUUUUCUAAUUUUUCAUUAAACCCCCGCUUAAUGAAAAGUACAAUUUUUGAAAGUUUUUAGAGACCCUUAGAAAUGUAUCCUAAACUUCGAAAAAUAUUACAAGGGUUUUGUAGAGUUUUUUCUAAUUUUUCAAUAAGGGGACCAUCUCUUUAGCUUCGAGGUACCUACAAAUUAUAAUAACAUUGAAAUAAAUAUCCUUGUCAGUUGUCAACACCCGGGCACGCAAAAAAUUGGAACGUGCAGAUCGAACAGUCUAGGUCAAGUGAAAUCAAAGCGUGGUGAUAUUUUUUGAGGGUACCGUACCUCAAAUAGAAAAGUUACCCCUUAGGAUCACUUUGUUGUCCACUGGUCAGUCCGUCUGUCAAGCAAGACAGUUUAACUCGGGCACGUGUGGAGGUAGUUUCAAACGAUUGAGU